CCCUUAGAUGUUCUGGGCUGCACGCGCGCUACACUGAAGCGUUCAACGAGUAUUCACCUUGCCCGGGAGGGUUGGGUAAUCUUUUGAAAACGCUUCGUGAUGGGGAUAGAUUAUUGCAAUUAUUAAUCUUCAACGAGGAAUGCCUAGUAAGCGCAAGUCAUCAGCUUGCGUUGAUUACGUCCCUGCCCUUUGUACACACCGCCCGUCGCUCCUACCGAUUGAAUGGUCCGGUGAAAUCUCGGGACGGCGGCUUGGUCGCUUGCGUCCGACUGCUGAAACUUGAUUAAACCAUAUCAUUUAGAGGAAGGUGAAGUCGUAACA
RNAcentral lists this ribosomal RNA (321 nucleotides) under uncultured eukaryote. Its description in RNAcentral is "partial 18S ribosomal RNA". It matches the Rfam family "Eukaryotic small subunit ribosomal RNA", at positions 1470 to 1796 of the family's 1831-position model. The record is from RNAcentral.